Lotus japonicus is the source of this 3238-nucleotide long non-coding RNA. RefSeq lists it as uncharacterized. The transcript is spliced from 6 exons. The record is from RefSeq and is a predicted model, not a curated record. Lineage: Eukaryota; Viridiplantae; Streptophyta; Magnoliopsida; Fabales; Fabaceae.
UCUUUAUUUCACCUCUUCAAUUCCGUCGUCAAUUCGUUUCCCAUUUCCUCUCCCUUUCUCUCUCACGUUUUAUCUCCUACCACUCUUCCAUCAAGGUUUCCUUUCACACAAAUCUUUUUUCUCCUUCUCUCUCACCAUUGUAUCUUUCCGGAAUCUCUCUUCCAUCUCAAACCCUGUGCUCCUCUCGCAUCAUGUUUCUCAAUCUGACGUCGUUUUUCCAUUUCUUCCCUACUCCAUAUUUCAAUCUUCUCCAGAUGUUGAAGGAGAGGAGUAUUCUCUGCGAUUUUAUUCCACUUUCAAGCAUCAGAUUGAGAGCAUGUGUUGUCCUCUAAUUUUCAUGUGUUGGCUGCCUGUAUUCCCUAAUUUUAGUCUUCUUCCUGUCUUGAUUUCUUCGUUUCUGGGUUCCUUUUUUUCAUUGUGUGGAAUCACUUGCAAUUUCUCCUAAUUUUAGUUUUUGGUAUAUGCCAGCUAUCUGUCUCUCAUGUAAAAUAUGUCCAGUUCCUCUUACCUUUUUUUCCUGUGAAAUAUCAGCAUAAAACAUAGAGGCAUGCGUUUUUGUACCAACAUAGCCUCUUUGAUCGUACUUUGUUUCUUUGCACAGGUUCUAAUCUGUCCAGUUCCUUUUACCAUUAAACAACCACCAAGGUGUUCUUUCUUCUGUAAAUAGUAAUUACAAUACGUGCAUCUGUGCCUGUUUUCAUUGCUUUGAUGGAGGUUUGAUAUUUCCCAAGUGAAAUAUGACUUGUCUGAUGAAAGGUGGAGCUUCAGAACCCAAGUAGCAAGAAGCUUCUGGGUCGUGUGAGGGCUUCUGAUAGGCACUGCAUGGUUCAGGAUCAAAUUUAUUAUCAUGUCUGCCCUUUGUUUGAGAGCUUUAUUACCAAGCAUAUGUUUAGAAAUUUGAUUUGAUAGAUUUUGGUAGGGGGGGAAGUGAUUAUUGAAGGUUUAAUCAUUGAUUCUCUCUUUGGUUUUGGCUUGCAGUUGCAGGGUUUGAGACUGGAUGGUGUCACCGUGUACUGCUGGAGCAGUUUCAUGCUUCAAUUUUCAGGCAUUACUUUCAUUUUCAUUCUUUAAUUUUCUUAAUCCUUCUGCCGCCACCAUGGUAUGCAGAUCUACUGAAAACCCUAACUUUGGGCUGCCAAGCCAAUCUGACCUAUUGAUAGUUAUUAAUGAAAUUUAAAAUAGAAUGAAAUAGGAAAAACUUAUAUGAACAUUAGAGAUUUUUGAAAACAGGAAAUUAUUCACCUUUAAUUUCUCCCCCCAUCAAGCUUCAGAUUAGAGAAAAUUAUUCUCUCAAAAGAUAUUUAUAUUUAAAAUGAAACUCUCUCCCCUUUAUUCCUCACUUAGUAAUUAUUAGUUUUGAAUUCAAAUUUGUGUUUGACCUUAAAUUACUCACUCUAUCAAGUCUCAAUUUAAUGAAUUUAUUAUUCAGAAACCACCAAUAUUGUAACAACCCCAUAUCAUGAGUAGUGUCCUUAAUUCUAGCUCUCAAAUCAAUACUUUUUGUUGUUCAGUUUAUUUUCCUUCUUCAUAAAUUUUGUUUAAAAUAACAGGAGGCUAGGAUGGAAUUUUGUUAAAAAAAAUUGCUUUGCCUUGAUUAUAAGAGGAGUUCAUUUUAAUUCAGUAGAGAAUUAUUUUCUGGAGUUCAUUUUAAUUGUUUUUUUAUGAAAGGGUUAUGUUGCUAGGAUGAUUUUGUUGUGGGAAGAACUUGAGGGAUGACAUCAUUUGGAGUAGUUUAUAGUGUCAUUGGCCAACAAGCUCUUUCACUGUGAUGUAUUUUAUGACUAGAUCCUUUGCAUCUUUAUUUUCAGUUUUUAGUGUAUUAGCUUAGACCACUCCAUCAAUAAGGAAUGAAUGUAUUGAAACUUUUGCUUCUGUGAGUCUUAUUUUGGUUUCACUUUGAACGAAUAUGCUAUUUGAUAUUUAUGUAGUUAAAAAUUUGAGGUAUAUUUGAUCUUGAUGCUCUCCACCCUGCCCUGCUUCCCUUUCUAUUUUUCCACCCUUUGAUCUUGAUUCAAGGUAGUUUGUUACUGCACACCUUUAUUUUCUUAUAUAAAUGAAAGAAAGAUAAGACAUCAUACUUUUGAUUAUUUUAGUUGCUUUUCUCAUUUAUAUUUAUCUAAUGUUUGAUGUCACUACAUAAAUGUCUAAAUGAUUCAAGCCAGUCUUACUAGCUAUUAGUAGAACAGAUGAAAGAAAGAUAAUACAUCAUAUGCCUAAAUAUCUUAAGUCUUUUUUCUUAUCCAUAUCCAUAGUAUAUACAUGGGGCUUAAAUGGCAGGAGUGAGCGCACAUUCCUAUUGACCUCAAUCAAAUUUCAUGGAAUCCCGUGAUAUUCUUCGUUAUCACUUUUGGGACAGUGUGGACGACAACAGAGGCCAUGGCAAGUUUGUCUCUGUCGAAAAAAUACUCACCGAGCAGCAGGUGUUUGAGAAUGGCUACUCCAUGAACAUAACAAUGAAGAUUGAGUGGUUUUGCUAGCGAUAAUUCAACUUCUUCAUUUUUGUUUUGGUAGCUGUGGAUCUUCUCAGAAAAUUGUUGAGUAGUCGAAAGGAACCAAAACAUAUUCCUGGUCUGUUAUUGGCUUCUGACAUUUGUUGUGAGAAUUCCAGUCCAGCACUCUGCUUCAAUGUAAAGAUAGCAUACCAAUGUACAAGAGACUUAUUCUUAUUUGACAAUAACUUUGAGGGAGCCACUAGAAUAGUGGAUCAAAAAGGAGUCAAGAUGAUUUCUGGUCACCCCAAUGGAAGGUUCAUCUUUCAGUUCUCUGAAAACAUUAUUGAACAAAUAGGGUACUUGGGGAAUGACAAAGGAGGAAUCACUCUAGGAUGCAGAGGAAUCGUGUGUUGCAUGUUGUUGAUGUCCUUCAUCGAGGGAGGGCUAAUAAGUCCAAGUGUUUGGUCGAGACAUGAAGCAGGUGUUUGAAGAUAGAUAUUUGUCACCUGAAGAUUUUCAAGCCCCAGAAAAAGAAGGCACCAGAGAUAAUCUUUGGGGGCUCCCUGUCAAGGAACUUCCUUAAAAUUUCCAGAAAAAUGCUUAGCUUGGUAAAUGAUGCAGUUGAACCUAAAACCUUUCGGCUACUUCACCAGAGACUACCAGUCUUCCACUGAAUUACUUUUAUCUCGAGAUCUCUUAAUUAGUAAUGUAGACUCCCCUUUCCUGUUUGUUAAGUCUGAUCCAACUUAUUGUUCAAUACACACUUUCCUAUUUGGAAGCUAUGCUAGAAUCCAUUUAUUAGUCAA